RNAcentral lists this ribosomal RNA (1386 nucleotides) under Escherichia coli. RNAcentral describes it as "partial 23S ribosomal RNA". It matches the Rfam family "Bacterial large subunit ribosomal RNA", at positions 139 to 1569 of the family's 2925-position model. Lineage: Bacteria; Pseudomonadati; Pseudomonadota; Gammaproteobacteria; Enterobacterales; Enterobacteriaceae. The record is from RNAcentral.
UUCGACACACUAUCAUUAACUGAAUCCAUAGGUUAAUGAGGCGAACCGGGGGAACUGAAACAUCUAAGUACCCCGAGGAAAAGAAAUCAACCGAGAUUCCCCCAGUAGCGGCGAGCGAACGGGGAGGAGCCCAGAGCCUGAAUCAGUGUGUGUGUUAGUGGAAGCGUCUGGAAAGGCGUGCGAUACAGGGUGACAGCCCCGUACACAAAAAUGCACAUAUUGUGAGCUCGAUGAGUAGGGCGGGACACGUGGUAUCCUGUCUGAAUAUGGGGGGACCAUCCUCCAAGGCUAAAUACUCCUGACUGACCGAUAGUGAACCAGUACCGUGAGGGAAAGGCGAAAAGAACCCCGGCGAGGGGAGUGAAAAAGAACCUGAAACCGUGUACGUACAAGCAGUGGGAGCCUCUUAAUGGGGUGACUGCGUACCUUUUGUAUAAUGGGUCAGCGACUUAUAUUCUGUAGCAAGGUUAACCGAAUAGGGGAGCCGAAGGGAAACCGAGUCUUAACUGGGCGUUAAGUUGCAGGGUAUAGACCCGAAACCCGGUGAUCUAGCCAUGGGCAGGUUGAAGGUUGGGUAACACUAACUGGAGGACCGAACCGACUAAUGUUGAAAAAUUAGCGGAUGACUUGUGGCUGGGGGUGAAAGGCCAAUCAAACCGGGAGAUAGCUGGUUCUCCCCGAAAGCUAUUUAGGUAGCGCCUCGUGAAUUCAUCUCCGGGGGUAGAGCACUGUUUCGGCAAGGGGGUCAUCCCGACUUACCAACCCGAUGCAAACUGCGAAUACCGGAGAAUGUUAUCACGGGAGACACACGGCGGGUGCUAACGUCCGUCGUGAAGAGGGAAACAACCCAGACCGCCAGCUAAGGUCCCAAAGUCAUGGUUAAGUGGGAAACGAUGUGGGAAGGCCCAGACAGCCAGGAUGUUGGCUUAGAAGCAGCCAUCAUUUAAAGAAAGCGUAAUAGCUCACUGGUCGAGUCGGCCUGCGCGGAAGAUGUAACGGGGCUAAACCAUGCACCGAAGCUGCGGCAGCGACACUAUGUGUUGUUGGGUAGGGGAGCGUUCUGUAAGCCUGUGAAGGUGGCCUGUGAGGGUUGCUGGAGGUAUCAGAAGUGCGAAUGCUGACAUAAGUAACGAUAAAGCGGGUGAAAAGCCCGCUCGCCGGAAGACCAAGGGUUCCUGUCCAACGUUAAUCGGGGCAGGGUGAGUCGACCCCUAAGGCGAGGCCGAAAGGCGUAGUCGAUGGGAAACAGGUUAAUAUUCCUGUACUUGGUGUUACUGCGAAGGGGGGACGGAGAAGGCUAUGUUGGCCGGGCGACGGUUGUCCCGGUUUAAGCGUGUAGGCUGGUUUUCCAGGCAAAUCCGGAAAACCAAGGCUGAGGCGUGAUGA